RNAcentral lists this ribosomal RNA (911 nucleotides) under Sphaerulina polyspora. RNAcentral describes it as "eukaryotic LSU rRNA". It matches the Rfam family "Eukaryotic large subunit ribosomal RNA", at positions 1 to 937 of the family's 3401-position model. The record is from RNAcentral. Lineage: Eukaryota; Fungi; Ascomycota; Dothideomycetes; Mycosphaerellales; Mycosphaerellaceae.
UUGACCUCGGAUCAGGUAGGGAUACCCGCUGAACUUAAGCAUAUCAAUAAGCGGAGGAAAAGAAACCAACAGGGAUUGCUCUAGUAACGGCGAGUGAAGCAGCAAUAGCUCAAAUUUGAAAUCUGGCGUCUUCGACGUCCGAGUUGUAAUUUGUAGAGGAUGCUUCUGAGUGGCCACCGACCUAAGUUCCUUGGAACAGGACGUCAUAGAGGGUGAGAAUCCCGUAUGCGGUCGGAAAGGCGCUCUAUACGUAGCUCCUUCGACGAGUCGAGUUGUUUGGGAAUGCAGCUCUAAAUGGGAGGUAAAUUUCUUCUAAAGCUAAAUAUUGGCCAGAGACCGAUAGCGCACAAGUAGAGUGAUCGAAAGAUGAAAAGCACUUUGGAAAGAGAGUUAAAAAGCACGUGAAAUUGUUAAAAGGGAAGGGAUUGCAACCAGACUUGCUCGCGGUGUUCCGCCGGUCUUCUGACCGGUCUACUCGCCGCGUUGCAGGCCAGCAUCGUCUGGUGCCGCUGGAUAAGACUUGAGGAAUGUAGCUCCCUCGGGAGUGUUAUAGCCUCUUGUGAUGCAGCGAGCGCCGGGCGAGGUCCGCGCUUCGGCUAGGAUGCUGGCGUAAUGGUCGUAAUCCGCCCGUCUUGAAACACGGACCAAGGAGUCUAACAUCUAUGCGAGUGUUCGGGUGUCAAACCCCUACGCGUAAUGAAAGUGAACGGAGGUGAGAACCGCAAGGUGCAUCAUCGACCGAUCCUGAUGUCUUCGGAUGGAUUUGAGUAAGAGCAUAGCUGUUGGGACCCGAAAGAUGGUGAACUAUGCCUGAAUAGGGUGAAGCCAGAGGAAACUCUGGUGGAGGCUCGCAGCGGUUCUGACGUGCAAAUCGAUCGUCAAAUUUGGGUAUAGGGGCGAAAGACUAAUCG